CGAUUGUCUUUACAAGCUGUUUGUAUUUUACUGCUUUUUGUGGAGCUGCAGUCAGCACCAUACUGGAACAGAAGAAGAGCAUACAGAAAAUGAUCAUCCUCUCCAUACUGAUGAGUUCUGUUUUAAAAUGUGUCAGGAGCAAAGUUAUGCUAUCCAAGAUGAACACUUCAGUUUGAACUGUUCUCAGGCUGUAUGGGCACAAUAAUUGAAGAAAUGCACACUGACAGAGAAAGUGAAAAAUAAGGACAAAGAAGAACUUCCUUUAUGUCUAGGCAGUGGAGAAAACUCCUUGAUAUCCCUCUGAUCAGAUAAGCGCCCAGGAACAGUGUCACUGGGGCACUUCUGUGGCAUGGCAAGAAAUGGUGGGGACAGAGGAACAGCAUGAGACUGCAGUGCGGAAGUUGGUCGGCUUCCCCUUAGGACUACUGCAAGUCCCCAGGUCAGCAUGUUAAGCGAACCUUGGAAAAACUAUUGUGUGAUCAGACACCGCACUGAAGCAGCAGCACCCAUUCGGUAAAGGUACUCUUAGAUAAAAAGCUGAAUGCUGUGGUUUCAAUGACUUAUCGUUGAAACCUUGUGGUUUCUGUGUAGGAGGUUGUACAAGCUGGACACGUUUGACAUCCUUGUUUCUGAGCUGUGAAAUCUGUACAUCUAAUUUAUGAAAAUUAUCUCUGGUUUAAUUUUAUUCUUUUUUUUUAAUGAAGUCAACAUGAUAUUUCCCUUGCAUUCAGUGGAAACAAUAAUGGAAAUGUUUUAAGAUGUUCUGUGAACCUGUUUUGACCUCAAAAGGGAAAAGAAUCAAGAUAUUCUUGAUUAUGAUUAAGGUUUAAGAAGGAAAUUAAAAUUAAAUAAAGGGACUUAUAGAUGGAGGGGAGAAGACGGAGUGGAGAAGAAAACGUCUCUCCAGUGUGGAGACAAAUUAAGAAGUUAACUGUGGGAAGUGACACAGACAUUAUAAGAUCAGAAUCUUGCAAGUGAGAAUUUGAUAUAAAAAAACCUACUAAAAUCUACUUAAGUAAGGAAAUUUAGAAUGAACAAUGGUACUGGUACCAUUUGGGAGACCCUGCAAUAUCUGUAGUCUUUCACAUGAUCUAAGUAAACUGGUAAGAUUACACAUGGGGUAAAUACAAGACCAGUGGAGCUACUUUAAAGGUUGGACAAAGAGGGAGCUGCAGCAGAAGCAAUUGCAAUCCCAAAGAAUCAUUAUUGAGCACCAGGUCAGUAAUGUGUCUUUUUUUUCCCUGGUUUAGUUUUAUGAUAGUUCAGUGAAUGGAUUCAGUCCCUCAAGGGGGUAAAGUGUGCUAAUGUUGCUACAAACAACAUAGCAGGCAUGCACAGCUGGAAUUGGAAGGAGGGGAAAGCAAAUUUCUUGUCUUCUCUGCUGCCUAGCAGUAGCAGAGACACAUUCACGUCUGCGUCAGUGGACUGGACCUGGGAGAGUCGUGGACCCACCCGCAUUACCGUGCUCUCUCUCACCUUGCUCUUCCUCUUCCUUCUGCUCUGAUGAGCGCCUACCAUCCAACAAGUCCCCAGAGAGCUAGGCUGCUGGCAGCACAGGAGACUUGAUCCUCUGGUAUUGGCAAAUCGUAUUCCCUUCACUGGCAUGAGCAGCAGAACCACACUGACUGCCUAAAUGUAGAGGUUUUGAGCCACAGCAAGUUUUGCCUCUGGAAGGUAAGUUCUCAGAAGCAUGUACACCAUUCCCUAUGGUCAAGCUUCAUAAGUGAAACUAUGAAAAUGUAUUAGAAAUGAACACAGGCUUCUGAAUACCAAACAAAGGAAAAGAAAAAGAAUAUUCAAGGUUCACAACAGACCUGCAAAGUUUCUUGCUAAAUUAUAACUGAAGUUAGUACCUGUGUGAAAAGUAACUACUCAGUGCAUCUGUGGGAGUAGAAAAAUCCACCUGAAAGCAUUAGCCAAAGACUAUGUAAUACUUUUGUGUGAGUAAUAAUUGAAAGUGUGAUCACCCACUAUCAGUUCAUUUCAGGGGGAUGACUGCAAGAUUCAUAUUAAUAAUUUUCAAUAAUUUCUAUAUCAAAACAUUGGUAUAUGACCAUGGAUUUUUUUUUCUUGCUACUAACUGUCUCAUUGUUCCUGAUCAGGAAGUUGCUCCUUUUGCAGAAAAAAAUGUGUUACUCUAAUGUUCUGCCUUUGACUGGAAAAUGAAGGUAUCUUGUACUGCUUGUUUCCUUUCCAGAAAUCUGAGACAAUAAGCAUCAUAACUGCAGCUGUAGGUGAAUAUGCUAGGAAAACAGUAAAAUUGCUGCGUUAGGGUACUCUUCUAGACAAUGAUAUUUUUCUUGCCUGUUAAUCAUGUGCUUGUUGCAGACUUAACACUUGACACCCUGUUCCUUGAGCAAUGUUUUUUGAUCUCUGAGAUAACUGUGGGAAACUGUGAGAGAAAAACAAGGAUGCACAGAAGAUGCCAGUCCAGAUCAAUGGAGACUUUUGAAAAUCAUAUUUUUCCCAUAAUCAUUGCAAACAUGUGGGAAAUGUGGAUAACCAAGGAACAAUUUGCAUUUUGGGGAUCCAAAAUUUAGCUAGAAUCAGUGUCUUAAGGUUAGCAUUCCUCUCCAUAUAGCUGAAUUUCCAGCCUGGAUCCUCCUCCUCUGAUAUCACUAGGUUUACACAACUAUUUAUGGACUGACCCUGAGGGAAACCAGUCUCUAUGCCUCUGUUUUCUCUUUUUCUGUGUAACUCAGCCUACAGUUCUUCAGAUCCCUGGCUGGUGAUGUGCCUAGGUGGUUCUCAUGCCUACUACAUUUACGUUUUCUUAUUUUUCUUUUAUGUAAAGGCAUAAGCCAUUUAAACGUAAGCCAGCAGGCACAAGAAGGAGAGGGUGGGUAUGAGAGCCCCUUACCCGGCCUUCAUCUUCAAACCAGAGCAUCACCUGCUACUGCCGCCUACUGUGCCACAGCUGGCAACCACGUAUGUGCUUGUAGACGAACCACAAGCAAAGUAAAAUGAUUUGAAUUUCUGAGGAUAAAAUCUUCUCACCAAUAUGUGGAUGGGCAUUUUGCAAAUUUUGCCUUAACUAUGGGCGAAGAUAAACUUACCUACCAAAGCAGCAUUCAGCCACCAGAGUUUUCCAGAAGCAGCUCUGCUCGUUGCUCCAAAUGAUGCCUAUUCCUCAACGAACCGUUGUAGCAAUUAUGAAGAUUUCUGCAAUUAGUUUUGGUACUCAGUAUCUAAGCAGUUGGACAAAGUAUGAGAAAAGACUGGCAUGUGAUUUAUACAUGGCAAUAAAAAUGAGAGGGAAAACAGAAGAUAACCAGAUGAAUGCCAACCAUGUUAUUUGCCCUAAGGAAUGACCCAGACAACCGGAGAGAUUCAUAAAUAUUGCAGAAGAGUGUUGAAGAAAAAUAUCUUUAUCCACAUACUUGUGGAGUAACAUUAAAACAUGGCCAAUCUUACCAAGUUUCACAAUGAAUAGUAAGUGGGAACUGAAAAAAACAAACUGUUGCCCAAACAUUGUUACCGUAAAUGUAAAGGAAAAGAAACACUGUAGGUGGGGAUAGUAGUUCUGAGCCAUUCCUUUGGUGUCUCAUAUGUAACUGUCCCAAAAAACCCCAAUAGGACUUCACCGACAGAAAUCUCCCGUUCUGCAAACUGCCUGUCUGUUCUUGCCUCGUUGGCCACAACCUCUAAGCACCUCUGAUGACAAAAUAAGAAUAUCAUUUGACGUAUUUCACAUUUCCAUUUCUGUUUAGUGCUCUUUUUUCCUCCUGUCUGCGGUUGCUUAACCUUGAUCCAGUCAUUCAGGUGAGAACAGAGAAAAGCGGAAACAAGUCUACGUUUUUCCCCGCCGCGUGUUGAGACACAACACGGGCUACUGUCUUAGCCUGGUCAGAGAUGGACUCGGAGGCCUUGAAGCUAAAACACUGUUAAAAAACAAAAUGAUAUUGUGAAUUUGACUCAGUGAUAAUUAAGCCUUCAGCCAAAGGCAGUUUGUUUACUGACUGGCUGCUGAGAAUAGUGACCAUUGGAUUUUCCCCUAGGUAUGGCUUUUGAGCAGUGGAGGAAGUCAUAGGGAAGCACCAUUUUGAUGCCAAAGUCCAGAAGCUGCGAUGCAACCAACGAUCAGCCCUACGUUUUACACGAACUUGCUUUGUGUGUUGUACGUCGUACCCGUUUAGGCCUUUUUAUUUGCAAGCUGUUCAGCUGCAGCCAAAGCUUUUUCACGGAGGGCUUCGAACGCUUCCAGCCACUGCAACGAGGUCGUCGUGUUUGUCUGAGGGAGAGGGAAAGAGGCACCCGUGCUUGUGUCAUGAGAACGUCCUCAAACGUGGCCAGGUCACAACUGAGAGCGCUGCCUUAUCCAGGGAAGCUGGCUGGGCCUUCAGAACUGAAAUCAAGACUUUCUCCUAAUAUCCCCUUAAUAAUCUUUUCCUUAAUAUCCUUAGCCGAGAAAGUCCUGAGAGAGCGAGCGCUGGAGGGCAGAGGCGUUGGCUUGGACAAGGUGGGAGCUGGACAGUAGAGGGAGCUGGCAGGGCUCUGGGUGGUGGGACCAGAAAGGGAGAAAAAUGAGACAAAAUACAGGCAGUGGUGGAAAAGAGAAGGGAGCAGAGGAGGAUGGGAGGCACCUGUGCCCCGCAGGGUGGUGGCAGGGUGGCAGGGCAAGGCAGAGCUGGACGGAGGGCGUACGCCUUCGGUGCUCCCAGUUUGCAUGCUGGCUCGAGGGCCAGCAGCCAGCGUGGGGGCAGUCUAUGUCCCAGUUGACCUGAUCACAGUGAGGGGGGUCCACGUGAUUUCUGGGGUGGGGGUCAGGGCAUCCCUUUUUGUUUCAAAUGUAGGAAAAUAAAUCAACAAAUCAGCUUCUUCUACCUUACCCUGAAAUAAAUCCUGGUAAAAGCUUGUUCAGAGUUCAAAGUCCUGUACUCCAAGUUCAGAAAUGCUCUGACAGCAUUACAGCGCCUUUCUGUGUGACGCUGGGGUGUUCGCAUCCAUCUCCCACCCCUUCGCCCUUGCAUCAGGCGAGGCGGUGGCCAUGGCUUGUGCUGUGAGCAAGGCCUUUACAAGUGCCCAGAAGCUUGCAAAUCCUGAGUCAGACUCCCUCAAAAGAGUGGAUGUUUGGGGAAGGGGGAUUGUAUUUUCUUUUUUGGCUGUGUAACCCUCACUUGUGAGCUUAUGUUUGUUUGCAUGCACGUGUGUGUAAGACACUACAGUGUUAACUUUUUGUCCUGCUGGCUAGGAGUGUGGGGCUUUCAGCUUCUCCCUAGACCACCAAAUCCAAAGUCAGCCUGUGUCCUCUCAUCCCUUUCCACCAGUUCCUCGUCUCACAAUUAAUUCUGCCCCUAAUUUGCUUAUCUGCCCUCACACAUCCCCACCCCUCCCCAGGUGCUCCAUGGGUCCCUCAUCCUCCACUUCUUCCCCCAGUGGGUCCUUACUCACCUGCCCUAUCAGGACAGUUACAACAGCCCUUUUGCCUGCACAGGCCCCUGCCUCCAGCUCCUGGGCUGUAUGUGAUGCUCAGCAAGCCAUAAGGACCAAGAUUUAUCGACUGGGAGUUGGAUGUUGCAUGUUUUCUGGAUCUUCAAAUUAGAAGGUGUGGGACCCUGACAAAGAGGUGAGCGCUAGCAAUGUCAGAAGGCUGUAUCCUGUGCUAAGUACUGGUAAAAAAUACUAGAUACUCAGAAAGAGUAGGCUCUGAGCACGUAAAACUCACCAAUACUUUUAAUUGUCUUGCUUGUAUUCUCCCUUUGUGCUUUAUGUCAUGCGUGAAAUAGUGAAAUAAUGCUGCACAGCUUUUUGGCGGUUUGAAGGUAAAUAUGUUAAUGUUCAUGGGAACAAGGAGAUUUGAGCGCUCCAUGAAAAAAGAAUGAGGACUCUUCCACAAGACCAUCUGCUGGGUUUACGUGGUUCAACAAAUAACAAAAAGAAUGAAUAAGGUCAAUAAACUGAGCAUUUUUUUUUUCUAUCAGUAACAGAAAUCCCAUGGAAAAAUGUUUAAGGUCAUGUAAUUAAAAAAUAACUGAACUCAGCAAGGGACUGAAUUAAGACAGGCAAAAGUAUUUUUUGCCUUUCUUAACUAUGAAAGCUUGACUUUACAAGCUUACUCUUCCUUCCUGGCAAUGCUCUUGUGCCUCCAGAGAGCUGUUAACUCCACUGAAGUCAGGAAAUC
Dromaius novaehollandiae (emu) is the source of this 6121-nucleotide long non-coding RNA. RefSeq lists it as uncharacterized. Lineage: Eukaryota; Metazoa; Chordata; Aves; Casuariiformes; Dromaiidae. The record is from RefSeq and is a predicted model, not a curated record. The transcript has 7 exons.